AUGCACGCUGGCGGCGUGCCUAAUACAUGCAAGUCGAGCGAACAGACGAGGAGCUUGCUCCUCUGACGUUAGCGGCGGACGGGUGAGUAACACGUGGAUAACCUACCUAUAAGACUGGGAUAACUUCGGGAAGCCGGAGCUAAUACCGGAUAAUAUAUUGAACCGCAUGGUUCAAUAGUGAAAGACGGUUUUGCUGUCACUUAUAGAUGGAUCCGCGCCGCAUUAGCUAGUUGGUAAGGUAACGGCUUACCAAGGCGACGAUGCGUAGCCGACCUGAGAGGGUGAUCGGCCACACUGGAACUGAGACACGGUCCAGACUCCUACGGGAGGCGGCAGUAGGGAAUCUUCCGCAAUGGGCGAAAGCCUGACGGAGCAACGCCGCGUGAGUGAUGAAGGUCUUCGGAUCGUAAAACUCUGUUAUUAGGGAAGAACAAAUGUGUAAGUAACUAUGCACGUCUUGACGGUACCUAAUCAGAAAGCCACGGCUAACUACGUG
This 496-nucleotide ribosomal RNA is filed under the name uncultured bacterium. RNAcentral's name for it is "partial 16S ribosomal RNA". It matches the Rfam family "Bacterial small subunit ribosomal RNA", at positions 29 to 507 of the family's 1533-position model. The record is from RNAcentral.